UGGGGAAUAUUGCACAAUGGGGGAAACCCUGAUGCAGCGACGCAGCGUGCGGGAUGACGGCCUUCGGGUUGUAAACCGCUUUCAGCAGGGAAGAAGCGCAAGUGACGGUACCUGCAGAAGAAGUACCGGCUAACUACGUGCCAGCAGCCGCGGUAAUACGUAGGGUACGAGCGUUGUCCGGAAUUAUUGGGCGUAAAGAGCUCGUAGGUGGUUGGUCACGUCUGCUGUGGAAACGCAACGCUUAACGUUGCGCGUGCAGUGGGUACGGGCUGACUAGAGUGCAGUAGGGGAGUCUGGAAUUCCUGGUGUAGCGGUGAAAUGCGCAGAUAUCAGGAGGAACACCGGUGGCGAAGGCGGGACUCUGGGCUGUAACUGACACUGAGGAGCGAAAGCAUGGGGAGCGAACA
Molecule: ribosomal RNA, 407 nt
Filed under: uncultured bacterium
Lineage: Bacteria
Also listed under: 3 other names
Description: partial 16S ribosomal RNA
Rfam family: Bacterial small subunit ribosomal RNA
Source: RNAcentral